Molecule: long non-coding RNA, 374 nt
Filed under: Fragaria vesca (wild strawberry)
Lineage: Eukaryota; Viridiplantae; Streptophyta; Magnoliopsida; Rosales; Rosaceae
Description: long non-coding RNA (FVES_LNC002647)
Source: RNAcentral
UUCGCUACUGCGCCAGAUGCAGGUCAGUUACUAGGCAUGCUGUUGAAGCUAGUAGAUGCAAAGAAGACAAUUGAAAUUGGAGUUUACACAGGAUACUCUCUCCUCCUCACUGCGCUUACUAUUCCUGAGGAGGGAAAGGUACGUCUGUUACAAAUUCUUCAAUCUGCUUUCUUGUCACGCUAAUUCGAAAGCACUAUAUAUGUUCAUGAAAGCUCGCCAUGCAUGGUUAGUUGGUUACCUUAAUUUCAUGGAUCUGACAUAAGUUACGUACCUUAUUGCAGAUUGUAGCCAUAGAUAUAGAUCGUGAGACAUAUGAGCAAAUAGGGCUGCCAAUCAUAAAGAAAGCUAGUGUGGAGCACAAAAUUGACUUCAUU